Molecule: ribosomal RNA, 449 nt
Filed under: uncultured bacterium
Lineage: Bacteria
Description: bacterial SSU rRNA
Rfam family: Bacterial small subunit ribosomal RNA
Source: RNAcentral
AUGAACGCUGGCGGCGUGCCUAACACAUGCAAGUCGAACGGAUCCGCAAGGAUUAGUGGCGCACGGGUGAGGAACACGUAGCUUACCUGCCCUUUACACUGAGAUAACUCUGCGAAAGCAGAGCUAAUAUCGGAUAAGCUCACGAGGAACAGUAUCCUUGCGAGAAAAGCUCCGGCGGUAAAGGAGGGGGCUGCGGCCCAUCAGCUAGUUGGUGAGGUAACGGCUCACCAAGGCGACGACGGGUAGGGGACCUGAGAGGGUGACCCCCCACACUGGGACUGAGACACGGCCCAGACUCCUACGGGAGGCAGCAGUGAGGAAUAUUGCUCAAUGGGCGAAAGCCUGAAGCAGCGACGCCGCGUGGACGAUGAAGGUCUUCGGAUCGUAAAGUCCUUUUCUGUGUGACGAGGAAGGACGGUAGCACAGGAAUAAGUGUCGGCUAACUACGU